This 1086-nucleotide long non-coding RNA is filed under the name Ananas comosus (pineapple). Its description in RNAcentral is "long non-coding RNA (ACOM_LNC029956)". The record is from RNAcentral. Lineage: Eukaryota; Viridiplantae; Streptophyta; Magnoliopsida; Poales; Bromeliaceae.
AUAUAUUUCUCGAUAGGAUAGUAGCAUAAGCCUAUAUAUAUAGAGAGUUUAGUUGGAAUGCUAUAAGUAGCAAAUGGAUUCCAUUGCCACCUAUUUAUUUUCGAUAAUUGGACUUUCAAAUCGAUGAUCGGUCACGUUGAAUAUUAUUCGUACUACUUGAAAUAUUUAGAAAUCAAAUUUCAUGUUUUUCGGUAUUGUUCUCUUAUCCAUCAAGUGGAUACAAAAAUAAACGGCUGAAAAUGAAUAUCCUUUAAAAAGUUAUGAUAGGAGUUUUGUAAUCAAGAACAAGAGUAUAGAUCUUGUUCUAAAUAGUCAAAAAAUUUUCUAAUCAAACUUCAACUGAUUUGGCUAUUUUUAUACCGUUAAACAAGAAAACGCGCGUUUUAUAUCGACCAUUAAAAUUACAAAUUUUGAAACACUUUGAUCAUUAGGUCAAUAUUGUCGAAAAAAAUUGAAAUUUAGUUUUUAUAUACUUCAAGUGGUAUAGAUUAUGUUCAACAGUAUCAACGAUUUAAAGGCUCCAUCAUCGAAAAUAAAUGGGUGACAAUGAAGCUCGCUUGCUACUAAUAAUAUUCUAGCUGAACUCUCUCUCUCUCUCUCUCUCUCUCUCUCUCUCUCUCUCUCUCUCUCUCUAUAUAUAUAUAUAUAUAUAUAUAUAUAUAUAUAUAGUUGAGAUAGGAUACUUUUAGAAACACCACCCACUUUGUGCUUCUAAGUUUUUAACCCUUGGAUCCACUCCUUGAUUACUAAUAUUCCUUGGAUCAAAUACUAUUCCACCUACCACCACCUACCACCAUCAUCUUAACCUCACAUCUCUCCAUCCAAGGGCUAAAAACUCUAACACCACCCACUUGGUGCUUUUAGAAGUAUUCUAGUUAAAAACUCUAAAGAGGAGUUGAGCAAGAAUACUAUCGAUAGCAAACGGGCUCCGUUGCCACCUAAUUAUUUUCGAUGAUACAGCCUCCAAAUCGACGAUCGGCACCGUUAAACAUGAUCUAUACCACUUGAAAUAUUUAGAAAUCAAAUUUUAUACAUUUUCGAUAUUGUUCUUUUAUCCAUCGAGUCGACACAAAAAUAAACGAUUUC